RNAcentral lists this ribosomal RNA (559 nucleotides) under Rossellomorea aquimaris. RNAcentral's name for it is "bacterial SSU rRNA". It matches the Rfam family "Bacterial small subunit ribosomal RNA", at positions 53 to 594 of the family's 1533-position model. The record is from RNAcentral. Lineage: Bacteria; Bacillati; Bacillota; Bacilli; Caryophanales; Bacillaceae.
ACAUGCAAGUCGAGCGGAUCGAUGGGAGCUUGCUCCCUGAGAUCAGCGGCGGACGGGUGAGUAACACGUGGGUAACCUGCCUGUAAGACUGGGAUAACUCCGGGAAACCGGGGCUAAUACCGGAUAACACCUACCCCCGCAUGGGGGAAGGUUGAAAGGUGGCUUCGGCUAUCACUUACAGAUGGACCCGCGGCGCAUUAGCUAGUUGGUGAGGUAAUGGCUCACCAAGGCGACGAUGCGUAGCCGACCUGAGAGGGUGAUCGGCCACACUGGGACUGAGACACGGCCCAGACUCCUACGGGAGGCAGCAGUAGGGAAUCUUCCGCAAUGGACGAAAGUCUGACGGAGCAACGCCGCGUGAGUGAAGAAGGUUUUCGGAUCGUAAAACUCUGUUGUUAGGGAAGAACAAGUGCCGUUCGAAUAGGGCGGCGCCUUGACGGUACCUAACCAGAAAGCCACGGCUAACUACGUGCCAGCAGCCGCGGUAAUACGUAGGUGGCAAGCGUUGUCCGGAAUUAUUGGGCGUAAAGCGCGCGCAGGUGGUUUCUUAAGUCUGAUG